AGAGUUUGAUCCUGGCUCAGGACGAACGCUGGCGGCGCGCCUAACACAUGCAAGUCGAACGAGCGAGAGAGAGCUUGCUUUCUCGAGCGAGUGGCGAACGGGUGAGUAACGCGUGAGGAACCUGCCUCAAAGAGGGGGACAACAGUUGGAAACGACUGCUAAUACCGCAUAAGCCCACGGGUCGGCAUCGACCAGAGGGAAAAGGAGCAAUCCGCUUUGAGAUGGCCUCGCGUCCGAUUAGCUAGUUGGUGAGGUAACGGCCCACCAAGGCGACGAUCGGUAGCCGGACUGAGAGGUUGAACGGCCACAUUGGGACUGAGACACGGCCCAGACUCCUACGGGAGGCAGCAGUGGGGAAUAUUGCACAAUGGGGGAAACCCUGAUGCAGCGACGCCGCGUGGAGGAAGAAGGUCUUCGGAUUGUAAACUCCUGUUGUUGAGGAAGAUAAUGACGGUACUCAACAAGGAAGUGACGGCUAACUACGUGCCAGCAGCCGCGGUAAAACGUAGGUCACAAGCGUUGUCCGGAAUUACUGGGUGUAAAGGGAGCGCAGGCGGGAAGACAAGUUGGAAGUGAAAUCCAUGGGCUCAACCCAUGAACUGCUUUCAAAACUGUUUUUCUUGAGUAGUGCAGAGGUAGGCGGAAUUCCCGGUGUAGCGGUGGAAUGCGUAGAUAUCGGGAGGAACACCAGUGGCGAAGGCGGCCUACUGGGCACCAACUGACGCUGAGGCUCGAAAGUGUGGGUAGCAAACAGGAUUAGAUACCCUGGUAGUCCACACCGUAAACGAUGAUUACUAGGUGUUGGAGGAUUGACCCCUUCAGUGCCGCAGUUAACACAAUAAGUAAUCCACCUGGGGAGUACGACCGCAAGGUUGAAACUCAAAGGAAUUGACGGGGGCCCGCACAAGCAGUGGACUAUGGGGUUUAAUUCGACGCAACGCGUAGAACCUUACCA
RNAcentral lists this ribosomal RNA (955 nucleotides) under human gut metagenome. Its description in RNAcentral is "bacterial SSU rRNA". It matches the Rfam family "Bacterial small subunit ribosomal RNA", at positions 8 to 976 of the family's 1533-position model. The record is from RNAcentral.